CGCGGCUUACACAUGCAGUCGAGCGGGGAAGUAUAGCUUGCUAUACGACCUAGCGGCGGACGGGUGAGUAAUGCUUAGGAAUCUGCCUAUUAGUGGGGGACAACAUUCCGAAAGGAAUGCUAAUACCGCAUACGCCCUACGGGGGAAAGCAGGGGAUCUUCGGACCUUGCGCUAAUAGAUGAGCCUAAGUCAGAUUAGCUAGUUGGUGGGGUAAAGGCCUACCAAGGCGACGAUCUGUAGCGGGUCUGAGAGGAUGAUCCGCCACACUGGGACUGAGACACGGCCCAGACUCCUACGGGAGGCAGCAGUGGGGAAUAUUGGACAAUGGGCGAAAGCCUGAUCCAGCCAUGCCGCGUGUGUGAAGAAGGCCUUUUGGUUGUAAAGCACUUUAAGCGAGGAGGAGGCUACUUAGAUUAAUACUCUAGGAUAGUGGACGUUACUCGCAGAAUAAGCACCGGCUAACUCUGUGCCAGCAGCCGCGGUAAUACAGAGGGUGCGAGCGUUAAUCGGAUUUACUGGGCGUAAAGCGUGCGUAGGCGGCUUCUUAAGUCGGAUGUGAAAUCCCUGAGCUUAACUUAGGAAUUGCAUUCGAUACUGGGAAGCUAGAGUAUGGGAGAGGAUGGUAGAAUUCCAGGUGUAGCGGUGAAAUGCGUAGAGAUCUGGAGGAAUACCGAUGGCGAAGGCAGCCAUCUGGCCUAAUACUGACGCUGAGGUACGAAAGCAUG
RNAcentral lists this ribosomal RNA (725 nucleotides) under Acinetobacter sp. MYb177. RNAcentral's name for it is "bacterial SSU rRNA". It matches the Rfam family "Bacterial small subunit ribosomal RNA", at positions 43 to 763 of the family's 1533-position model. The record is from RNAcentral. Lineage: Bacteria; Pseudomonadati; Pseudomonadota; Gammaproteobacteria; Moraxellales; Moraxellaceae.